This 248-nucleotide long non-coding RNA is filed under the name Lathyrus oleraceus (garden pea). RNAcentral's name for it is "Pisum sativum (pea) long non-coding RNA (PSAT_LNC009112)". Lineage: Eukaryota; Viridiplantae; Streptophyta; Magnoliopsida; Fabales; Fabaceae. The record is from RNAcentral.
UCAAAUGCGGUGAUCAGGGAUCAUUCGCGCGAAAGAAAAUGUAUGUGUUGGGGUCCAAGAAAAAAUCAAAAAAAAAGUUUUGGGGUUCAAGAAAAGAAAAGCAAAAAAAUAAAUAAUAAUAAUUCCCAGCGGAGCGCAAAUUGUUCGUUUGUUCUUGGUAUUCAACCACUCUUCACCCUGAUCAUCUGAAAGUCGAGGCUGUUCAUAUCGACAGGUUCACAGUGGAUUGAAUAGGGGCAGCCCUUGAA